RNAcentral lists this ribosomal RNA (253 nucleotides) under uncultured bacterium. RNAcentral's name for it is "partial 16S ribosomal RNA". It matches the Rfam family "Bacterial small subunit ribosomal RNA", at positions 524 to 776 of the family's 1533-position model. The record is from RNAcentral.
UACGAAGGGGGCUAGCGUUGUUCGGAUUUACUGGGCGUAAAGCGCACGUAGGCGGAUCGUUAAGUCGGGGGUGAAAUCCUGGAGCUCAACUCCAGAACUGCCUUCGAUACUGGCGAUCUCGAGUCCGGAAGAGGUGAGUGGAACUCCUAGUGUAGAGGUGGAAUUCGUAGAUAUCAGGAAGAACACCAGUGGCGAAGGCGGCUCACUGGUCCGAUACUGACGCUGAGGUGCGAAAGCGUGGGGAGCAAACAGG